CCUACGGGUGGCAGCAGUGAGGAAUAUUGGUCAAUGGGCGCGAGCCUGAACCAGCCAAGUAGCGUGCAGGAUGACUGCCCUACGGGUUGUAAACUUCUUUUAUAAAGGAAUAAAGUGAGGCACGUGUGCCGUUUUGUAUGUACUUUAUGAAUAAGGACCGGCUAACUCCGUGCCAGCAGCCGCGGUAAUACGGAGGAUCCGGGCGUUAUCCGGAUUGAUUGGGUUUAAAGGGAGCGUAGAUGGGUUGUUAAGUCAGUUGUGAAAGUUUGCGGCUCAACCGUAAAAUUGCAAUUGAUACUGGCAGUCUUGAGUACGGUAGAGGUAGGCGGAAUUCGUGGUGUAGCGGUGAAAUGCUUAGAUAUCACGAAGAACUCCGAUUGCGAAGGCAGUUCACUGGACUGCAACUGACACUGAGGCUCGAAAGUGUGGGUAUCGAACAGGAUUAGAUACCCCUGUAGUC
RNAcentral lists this ribosomal RNA (460 nucleotides) under uncultured bacterium. RNAcentral's name for it is "partial 16S ribosomal RNA". It matches the Rfam family "Bacterial small subunit ribosomal RNA", at positions 338 to 795 of the family's 1533-position model. The record is from RNAcentral.